AAAAUGUUUCGAUAUGCUGACAAAUAACUAAGAACGCUGACAUAUUUGGGUCCAAACUGAAAGAAAGAAUGGGUUCUGCUGCUGCAGUUCAUCUCCAGCAAUAACACAGAACAAUGGUGCGCCGCAGUUCAUCUCUAGCAAUAACACAGAACAAUGGCGAGUACAAGCAAUGCUAACUCUGGAACAGAACUGGCAGUGAUCGGAUAAUCGGCUCUCUUCUCUGAAGCUAGAAUAUCAGGUCCUGUUGGUUGUCCCACAGAAAGCCAAUUAUUGAGAGAAUGAGUAUUGCCAGAGAAGAAGGCUUUAUUCGGGUGCUCCAGUUGAGAAGAUGGGAGGU
RNAcentral lists this long non-coding RNA (337 nucleotides) under Homo sapiens (human). RNAcentral's name for it is "HSALNT0202604". The record is from RNAcentral. Lineage: Eukaryota; Metazoa; Chordata; Mammalia; Primates; Hominidae.